This is a long non-coding RNA of Homo sapiens (human), 659 nucleotides long. The record is from Ensembl. NCBI's taxonomy places the organism in Eukaryota, Metazoa, Chordata, Mammalia, Primates, Hominidae.
AAUCAAGUUGAGGUGGAGAACAGAAAGGCUUAGUUACUCUUUAGGACAAGGUGGAGGUGGGGAGAAGCCGAGGAGAGCAUUUCACUCUGCCUUUUUUUUAAUGUGCAGACAUUAAACUGGUUUCGGUGCUGACUGGCUGGAAGGAGAAAUCUAAGCAGUAAUGAGGCAGUGUUCUGAAUAUCCUUCCUCACUUAUCCUAGUGGUUCUCAGGGGCAGUGAUGGGUGUGCUCGUUAGCAGGCUCAUUCCACCAAUGCAAGAACCAGGCAAGAUCAGAGGAGGACACAGAUGAGUGGUCUCGCCCACCUGCAAGUGUGGGCUUGAAUGGUGUUGCUAUGGGACUCUGCGGCACUACGCUUGGCUAUGCUCUGACUCUCUCUGCCUAAUACUUCAUGCCAAGAUUUUUUGAGACAGGAUCGCAUACCGUCACCCAAGCUGAAGUGCAAUGGUGCGAACAUGGCUCACUGCAGCCUAGACCGACUGAGCUAUGCAGUCUUCCCACCUCAGCCACCCGAAUAGGUGGGACUAUAGUUAGCUUCUUCCUGGAAUCCUGAAUCUUCCUGCUACAGGAUUUAGAGUGAGUUUAUACCUAUUAUAUUACUUCAUAUAAUUUUAAGAGAUCAUGAUAAAGAAUGAAGAUAAAUACUUGUGGCUACUCUUC